This 1023-nucleotide long non-coding RNA is filed under the name Oryza brachyantha (malo sina). Its description in RNAcentral is "long non-coding RNA (OBRA_LNC002295)". The record is from RNAcentral. Lineage: Eukaryota; Viridiplantae; Streptophyta; Magnoliopsida; Poales; Poaceae.
CAUUAGGAAAGAAGCACAAGAGAAAAUAAAGCAAUCAGUCAAUCAUUGAUGAGUUCCUAACGCCAAUGCCCAAUGACAAAGGGCGGUGCCCCCAAAGUACUCGGUUCGCCUUCAUCCAACGGUGAACAGUUUGGGUUUUGUGUGUUGCUGGUUGUAGAGCUGCUUACAUGGACGUGGGCAUGUUUAAUUCCUUUAUAUUUACUACGACCCGACUGCUGCAGUAAACUCUAUAUCAUCAUAUAGCUGGCACUAGCCAGCUGAUACAAUAGGUUGGAUGUUAUAGCCACGUUAUCUCAUCAACUAAACAAUAAUUUAUCAUGCAUUGUCAUUCUAUUGUGACAUGACAUAAGUAUGUUUAUGUUUACGUAGAAAUACCAAAAAAAUUUAUGUCUACAUGGAAAAGCAACACAAAAGAAAAAGAAAGAACCAUCAUACUUCAGCAAAGAAAAAGGAAAACAGACUGCACCAAAAUAAAAAUCCAUCCAACACCUGUUUUACAUACGAAUAAUAUGUAUAUACAACAAGAACAGGACACGAAAAAGGAGCCUAAAGAAAAAGAAAUCCCCAAAUCUCUCAAUACAAAGGAGCAAAGAGACAGAAAUUCCCUAAUCCAUCCACACAGUAGAACUGCGUAACAUUGUCAAAUGAUUUAUCCUAGCUAUUUGCUUGUCUCAAUAUGUAGGAUGAUGCAGAAGACAAUAGGGAUCUCGUAGGAAGACAACGCAUGCUCCUUGUAGAAGUCAUCGAUCUAUCGAGCGAGCUGAAGUGGAACAAGGCCACAAGUCAUUGAUUCGACCUCGGUGGCAAAGGUUCUUUUGCAAUAGGGAAGAUUGAUGACAACAAUAUUUACUAAGGGUGGGUACAAUAGAAGGCUAUAAGCCAGCUAUAAAUAUAUUUUAAGGAGAUAAGAGAGAAGAGAAAAGAAUAACGAACUAUAGAUUUGUAGGCAGCUAGGGCACAGACUCUAAGACAUAAUGUGUGUAUGAUAGGUGGGACCAGAUAUUAAUAGUGUAAUAUAUGUUU